AGCGAACGCUGGCGGCAGGCUUAACACAUGCAAGUCGAGCGGGCACUUUCGGGUGUCAGCGGCGGACGGGUGAGUAACGCGUGGGAACGUGCCCUCUGGUUCGGAAUAACUCAGGGAAACUUGAGCUAAUACCGGAUACGCCCUUUUGGGGAAAGGCUUGCUGCCGGAGGAUCGGCCCGCGUCUGAUUAGCUAGUUGGUGAGGUAACGGCUCACCAAGGCGACGAUCAGUAGCUGGUCUGAGAGGAUGAUCAGCCACACUGGGACUGAGACACGGCCCAGACUCCUACGGGAGGCAGCAGUGGGGAAUAUUGGACAAUGGGCGCAAGCCUGAUCCAGCCAUGCCGCGUGAGUGAUGAAGGCCUUAGGGUUGUAAAGCUCUUUUAUCCGGGACGAUAAUGACGGUACCGGAGGAAUAAGCUCCGGCUAACUUCGUG
This 435-nucleotide ribosomal RNA is filed under the name uncultured bacterium. Its description in RNAcentral is "partial 16S ribosomal RNA". It matches the Rfam family "Bacterial small subunit ribosomal RNA", at positions 29 to 507 of the family's 1533-position model. The record is from RNAcentral.